CGGGGCUUAAUGUCUUGUAAUUGGAAUGAUGGGAAUUUAAACCUCUUCCAGAGUAUCAAUUGGAGGGCAAGUCUGGUGCCAGCAGCCGCGGUAAUUCCAGCUCCAAUAGCGUAUAUUAAAAUUGUUGCAGUUAAAAAGCUCGUAGUUGAAUUUCUGCUGCAUCGCUGUUCUCCUUGAUGAGUAUUGCGUUGUGGCUUUUUUCGGACAUUGCUUCGGUUUUGUCCGGAUGAUUACUUUGAGAAAAUUAGAGUGCUCAAAGCAGGCUUUUGCCUUGAAUAGUUUAGCAUGGAAUAAUAAAGUAGGACUUUGGUUCUAUUUUGUUGGUUUUAGGUACCAAAGUAAUGGUUAAUAGGAACAGUUGGGGGCAUUCGUAUUUAACUGUCAGAGGUGAAAUUCUUAGAUUUGUUAAAGACGAACUACUGCGAAAGCAUUUGCCAAGGAUGUUUCCAUUAAUCAAGAAC
RNAcentral lists this ribosomal RNA (461 nucleotides) under Theileria sp. RNAcentral describes it as "SSU rRNA". It matches the Rfam family "Eukaryotic small subunit ribosomal RNA", at positions 486 to 984 of the family's 1831-position model. Lineage: Eukaryota; Apicomplexa; Aconoidasida; Piroplasmida; Theileriidae. The record is from RNAcentral.